CCUACGGGGCGCAGCAGUAGGGAAUAUUGCUCAAUGGGGGAAACCCUGAAGCAGCAACGCCGCGUGGAGGAUGAAGGUUUUCGGAUUGUAAACUCCUUUUGUUAGAGAAGAUAAUGACGGUAUCUAACGAAUAAGCACCGGCUAACUCCGUGCCAGCAGCCGCGGUAAUACGGAGGGUGCAAGCGUUACUCGGAAUCACUGGGCGGAAAGAGCGCGUAGGCGGGAUAGCAAGUCAGAUGUGAAAUCCUAUGGCUUAACCAUAGAACUGCAUUUGAAACUGUUAUUCUAGAGUAUGGGAGAGGUAGGUGGAAUUCUUGGUGUAGGGGUAAAAUCCGUAGAGAUCAAGAGGAAUACUCAUUGCGAAGGCGACCUGCUAGAACAUAACUGACGCUGAUGCGCGAAAGCGUCGGGAGCAAACAGGAUUAGAUACCCCAGUAGUC
Molecule: ribosomal RNA, 440 nt
Filed under: uncultured bacterium
Lineage: Bacteria
Description: partial 16S ribosomal RNA
Rfam family: Bacterial small subunit ribosomal RNA
Source: RNAcentral